Lingula anatina is the source of this 645-nucleotide long non-coding RNA. The record is from RefSeq and is a predicted model, not a curated record. Lineage: Eukaryota; Metazoa; Brachiopoda; Lingulata; Lingulida; Lingulidae.
AUGCUUUGAACUAUUUUGCGCAUAGCUGUUCUUUGUAAAUUUCAUGGGUGGGAUUCGCUGAUGAUUUAAAGGAAUUUUUGUCAAAAGUAAAUGCCUGGAUUAGGGACUGUAGCCUCUUGGAAUAGUGAAAAGCACUUCCGGCCAAGAACGUAAUUGAAAGUUAAAUGACGAUUGAAAAACCCUGGUUUAGAUCUAAUGCACCAAAACUGGGAUAAGGUGGUCCUACAGAGUGGACAAGAAGCAGAAGCAGCCAGGACCUGCCUAGAAGGGAUGGACCUUGCUGUCAGCAAUCAGUGGCUGGUUGAGACUCUGAUGAAGUGUCAUAAAAAAACAAGCACUUUUGUACUUAAGAAGCUGUAGGAUGGUUUCUCAGCCCGCAGGAACUGUCUGGAACAACUUUUUAAAUAGUCUAUAGAAUGACCUAGUUGGGUCUGACUGCCAUUCAAGUUAAUGCAGCAAUAAAUUCCAAGAUUUCAGCUGCUCGUAGAUGUGUGAGGAAUGUAAAUGAUGCAAUGGAACCAGAGUACAACAAAAUGGAGAUUUUGAAGACUACAACAAACCGACCAAUUUCUCCAACCCAAUGUAUGACAGUAUAACAGGAUUAGAACCUGCUAAUCCCCCUAAAAAGGAUUAGAACCUGCUAAU